UCCUCCUCCUUGAACCCGAUGCCCGACCCGAGAGGGUGAUUCGUGUCGUACUCGAAAAUACAGCCCGUAGCAUAAUUAAUCAAAAUCAAACCCUUUUCUCUGCACACGUCAGCCAACGUGAGCGUCCCGACCACAUUGGUCCGAAUGGUUUCGACCUUGUGAGACUCGCACCAGUCGACGUUAGGCCGGCCAGUGACACCGGCAGCGUUGAAUACAUGACUAGGCUUGACGUUGACGAUGUCAGCUUCGAGGGAGACUCUGUUUUCCAGGCGACCGGAGCCGUAGGUGUAGUCGAUGCCCUGAGACUCGCAGAGCUUCCCCAAGAGACCACCUAUCCAUCCGGUGCGGCCGUAGAUGAGGAA
RNAcentral lists this unclassified non-coding RNA (362 nucleotides) under Hevea brasiliensis (rubber tree). Lineage: Eukaryota; Viridiplantae; Streptophyta; Magnoliopsida; Malpighiales; Euphorbiaceae. The record is from RNAcentral.